Molecule: ribosomal RNA, 229 nt
Filed under: uncultured bacterium
Lineage: Bacteria
Description: partial 16S ribosomal RNA
Rfam family: Bacterial small subunit ribosomal RNA
Source: RNAcentral
UCCGUAGGCGGAUUAAUAAGUCAGGGGUGAAAUCCAACAGCUUAACUGUUGAACUGCCUUUGAUACUGUUAGUCUUGAGUUAUAUGGAAGUAGAUAGAAUAUGUAGUGUAGCGGUGAAAUGCUUAGAGAUUACAUAGAAUACCGAUUGCGAAGGCAGUCUACUACGUAUAUACUGACGCUAAUGGACGAAAGCGUGGGGAGCGAACAGGAUUAGAUACCCUGGUAGUCC